UGAGCAAUCUGCCCUUCUCUUCGGAAUAAGCGUUGGAAACGACGUCUAAUGCCGAAUACGACCUCCUUUCGCAUGAUCGGAGGUGGAAAGCUCCGGCGGAGAAGGAUGAGCUCGCGGCCUAUCAGCUAGUUGGUGUGGGUAAUGGCCCACCAAGGCGACGAUGGGUAGCCGACCUGAGAGGGUNAUCGGCCACAUUGGAACUGAGACACGGUCCAGACUCCGUAGGGAGG
This 230-nucleotide ribosomal RNA is filed under the name uncultured bacterium. RNAcentral describes it as "partial 16S ribosomal RNA". It matches the Rfam family "Bacterial small subunit ribosomal RNA", at positions 118 to 348 of the family's 1533-position model. The record is from RNAcentral.